This 372-nucleotide ribosomal RNA is filed under the name uncultured organism. RNAcentral's name for it is "bacterial SSU rRNA". It matches the Rfam family "Bacterial small subunit ribosomal RNA", at positions 526 to 896 of the family's 1533-position model. The record is from RNAcentral.
CGAAGGGUGCAAGCGUUACUCGGAAUUACUGGGCGUAAAGCGUGCGUAGGUGGUUCGUUAAGUCUGAUGUGAAAGCCCCGGGCUCAACCUGGGAACUGCAUUGGAUACUGGCGAUCUGGAGUGCGGUAGAGGGUGGCGGAAUUCCCGGUGUAGCAGUGAAAUGCGUAGAUAUCGGGAGGAACAUCCGUGGCGAAGGCGGCCACCUGGACCAGCACUGACACUGAGGCACGAAAGCGUGGGGAGCAAACAGGAUUAGAUACCCUGGUAGUCCACGCCCUAAACGAUGCGAACUGGAUGUUGGGUGCAACUUGGCACUCAGUAUCGAAGCCAACGCGUUAAGUUCGCCGCCUGGGAAGUACGGUCGCAAGACUG